GACGAACGCUGGCGGCGUGCUUAACACAUGCAAGUCGAACGGAAAGGCCCUGCUUUUGUGGGGUGCUCGAGUGGCGAACGGGUGAGUAACACGUGAGUAACCUGCCCUUGACUUUGGGAUAACUUCAGGAAGCUGGGGCUAAUACCGGAUAGGAGCUCCUGCUGCAUGGUGGGGGUUGGAAAGUUUCGGCGGUUGGGGAUGGACUCGCGGCUUAUCAGCUUGUUGGUGGGGUAGUGGCUUACCAAGGCUUUGACGGGUAGCCGGCCUGAGAGGGUGACCGGCCACAUUGGGACUGAGAUACGGCCCAGACUCCUACGGGAGGCAGCAGUGGGGAAUAUUGCACAAUGGGCGGAAGCCUGAUGCAGCAACGCCGCGUGCGGGAUGAAGGCCUUCGGGUUGUAAACCGCUUUCGCCUGUGACGAAGCGUGAGUGACGGUAAUGGGUAAAGAAGCACCGGCUAACUACGUG
Molecule: ribosomal RNA, 468 nt
Filed under: uncultured bacterium
Lineage: Bacteria
Description: partial 16S ribosomal RNA
Rfam family: Bacterial small subunit ribosomal RNA
Source: RNAcentral